Molecule: transfer RNA, 69 nt
Filed under: Uraeotyphlus gansi (Gansi caecilian)
Lineage: Eukaryota; Metazoa; Chordata; Amphibia; Gymnophiona; Ichthyophiidae
Description: tRNA-Glu
Rfam family: tRNA
About the family: Transfer RNA (tRNA) molecules are approximately 80 nucleotides in length. Their secondary structure includes four short double-helical elements and three loops (D, anti-codon, and T loops). Further hydrogen bonds mediate the characteristic L-shaped molecular structure. tRNAs have two regions of fundamental functional importance: the anti-codon, which is responsible for specific mRNA codon recognition, and the 3' end, to which the tRNAs corresponding amino acid is attached (by aminoacyl-tRNA synthetases). tRNAs cope with the degeneracy of the genetic code in two manners: having more than one tRNA (with a specific anti-codon) for a particular amino acid; and 'wobble' base-pairing, i.e. permitting non-standard base-pairing at the 3rd anti-codon position.
Source: RNAcentral
GUUUCUGUAGUUGAAUAACAACGGUGGUUUUUCAGAUCAUUGGUCUCGGUUAGAAUCCUAGUAGGAAUU